This 212-nucleotide ribosomal RNA is filed under the name uncultured bacterium. Its description in RNAcentral is "partial 16S ribosomal RNA". The stretch from base 3 to 184 matches the Rfam family "Bacterial small subunit ribosomal RNA", at positions 570 to 751 of the family's 1533-position model. The record is from RNAcentral.
UGCGUAGGCGGUCGGGUAAGUCUGACGUGAAAUCUUCAAGCUCAACUUGAAAACUGCGUCGGAUACUAUUCGGCUAGAGGAAUGGAGGGGAGACUGGAAUACUUGGUGUAGCAGUGAAAUGCGUAGAUAUCAAGUGGAACACCAGUGGCGAAGGCGAGUCUCUGGACAUUUCCUGACGCUGAGGACACCGAAAGGGCCAGGGGAGGCAAACG